This is a long non-coding RNA of Canis lupus familiaris (dog), 193 nucleotides long. RefSeq lists it as uncharacterized. The record is from RefSeq and is a predicted model, not a curated record. Lineage: Eukaryota; Metazoa; Chordata; Mammalia; Carnivora; Canidae. The transcript has 3 exons.
UUUGUGGGCCUUCACUCUUUCUCUAGGAGCCUCCCUCCCUGACCGCUGAGGGAUGAAGUUGAAUCAGUGCAUCUCCACCUUCCACACCUAGAAGAAAGAAUAUAGAAGAGAAUUUUGGCUUCAGAGGACAGGACUGGCUUUGUCUUCUCCAGGGCUGCAAGCUUCAGUUCCCAGCAAAGUGCGUUGAAUGUAG